RNAcentral lists this ribosomal RNA (495 nucleotides) under uncultured bacterium. RNAcentral describes it as "partial 16S ribosomal RNA". It matches the Rfam family "Bacterial small subunit ribosomal RNA", at positions 29 to 506 of the family's 1533-position model. The record is from RNAcentral.
AUGAACGCUGGCGGCGUGCCUCAUACAUGCAAGUCGCGCGAACAGACGAGGAGCUUGCUCCUCUGACGUUAGCGGCGGACGGGUGAGUAACACGUGGAUAACCUACCUAUAAGACUGGGAUAACUUCGGGAAACCGGAGCUAAUACCGGAUAAUAUAUUGAACCGCAUGGUUCAAUAGUGAAAGACGGUUUUGCUGUCACUUAUAGAUGGAUCCGCGCCGCAUUAGCUAGUUGGUAAGGUAACGGCUUACCAAGGCAACGAUGCGUAGCCGACCUGAGAGGGUGAUCGGCCACACUGGAACUGAGACACGGUCCAGACUCCUACGGGAGGCAGCAGUAGGGAAUCUUCCGCAAUGGGCGAAAGCCUGACGGAGCAACGCCGCGUGAGUGAUGAAGGUCUUCGGAUCGUAAAACGCUGUUAUUAGGGAAGAACAAAUGUGUAAGUAACGAUGCACGUCUGGACGGUACCUAAGCAGAAAGCCACGGCUAACUACGU